Molecule: transfer RNA, 85 nt
Filed under: Felis catus (domestic cat)
Lineage: Eukaryota; Metazoa; Chordata; Mammalia; Carnivora; Felidae
Also listed under: 1 other name
Rfam family: tRNA
About the family: Transfer RNA (tRNA) molecules are approximately 80 nucleotides in length. Their secondary structure includes four short double-helical elements and three loops (D, anti-codon, and T loops).
Source: Rfam by way of RNAcentral
GCCUAGGUGGCUCAGUUGGUUGAGCAUCCGACUUUGGCUCAGGUCAUGAUUUAAUAGUUUGUGAGUUUCAGCCCCACCUCAGGCU